RNAcentral lists this long non-coding RNA (1135 nucleotides) under Equus asinus (donkey). RNAcentral describes it as "lncRNA (ENSEASG00005036422.1)". Lineage: Eukaryota; Metazoa; Chordata; Mammalia; Perissodactyla; Equidae. The record is from RNAcentral.
UGAAUCAGAAUCAGCAGGGUGCAGGCCAGAAACCGGUGUUUCAAAAACUCUCUGGGUGAUUCUGAUGCACUGUAGUGUUUGAGAAGAACUACUUUAAAGUUUGCAGUUACUCCCAUGUACAUUGUAAGAGUUUUACCUCCAUCUUAUGAAGUAGAGAUGUUUUGACCCAUUCUACAACGGAAUAAGAGAAGGCACAGAGAAUAUAAGAUACUCUCAUCCUACAACCAGUAGACUCCUCCUGAGGGGUAUGAAGAUUAUGUUCUAACUGGAGAAGGUGUCGAGUCCCUUUGCUGUCACUUUCCUGUUGAUUUUAUUUCGGUAAAUCUUCCUAGUCCAAGGAAGAAAGCUUUGAUCACUUGAAAUCCUGAAAGAGACUAAAAACGACACUGAAAUUGCCUUUGUGUGGAGAUAAUAAAUAUAAUUGGCCCAGUCAUGAAGAGUGUGCCUGUGAUAUUGGAGCAGCUGGUUAGCUAUGAUGGGAUCCAGCUGUCCCUGACACCCCACUUUAUGAAUCAACUGGAAAAGGAAAUGAGAGAGACAAGAGAGGCCAUGGAGUCAAAAGGUUCCACACAAAAGGGAGACCAUACAGUAUUUGUCUUUAUCUGGCUUAUUUCACUUAGCAUAGGCCUCCUCAUGUUGUUGCAAACGGAGAGGAAGAAGUGUUUGUCAGAAGGAGCCUCUGGCAAACUGGAGACUGUUGGAAUCUUGUUCAUGUCUUACAACUUGUAGAUGCAUCAGCAGGUCUAAAAUUCUUACAACUGCUUCUAAAGUAGCUGGAGGGAGAUGCCAAUUAAGUUUAAAUAAAACGUUUGUCUUCUAAUAAGAAAUCUACUACCAUGUCAAAUAGCAACUGGAAGAGCCUAAGAUGGCUAUAACCAGGACAAUGAGCGUCCUGGACCCAACUUGCUGGGUUAGAAGUGUUCUUGGAGGCUGCUUUUUACUGGUUGAACAAAGAGACUAAUGCAAAAACUUGAAACAGGUCUCCCUGUGGAAAAGACUUCCAGUUGAAUAACUGACUAUUUUUCUUGCCAAGUUAACAUUACAAGAGAAGAGAUUCAACUUGGAGACCAACAAGGCAGGUUUCAAUUCUUUGUUCUAUGUUUACAUUUUCAAAUUUUUAAAAAGGUUAAGUGCA